UGUUGUGAAGGCGAUCUGGCUGUGACAUCUGUCACCCCAUUGAUUGCCAGGGUAGAUUCAGCUGAUCUGGCUGGCUAGACAGGUGUCCCUUUCCUCCCUCACUGCUCCAUGUACAUCCUGAGGACCACCAUCCCUGAUAGAGGACUGUUUCCUUGGUCAAGGGUGUAUGAGUAGCUGCGCUCCCCUGCUAGAACCUCCAAACAAUCUCUCAAAUUAUGCAGUGCUAUUCUGAUUGAUUAUUGGGAGAGUUAUGAAAGGACUUAGCAAAAUAGACACACAAGCUAGGUGUGGUGGCACAUGCCUA
This 304-nucleotide small nuclear RNA is filed under the name Heterocephalus glaber (naked mole-rat). RNAcentral describes it as "7SK RNA". It matches the Rfam family "7SK RNA". From Rfam's summary of the family: 7SK was discovered as an abundant small nuclear RNA in the mid-70s but a possible function has only recently been suggested. Two independent studies have found that 7SK RNA binds the CDK9/cyclin T complex (known as elongation factor P-TEFb). P-TEFb activates transcription by phosphorylating the C-terminal domain of RNA polymerase II. Lineage: Eukaryota; Metazoa; Chordata; Mammalia; Rodentia; Bathyergidae. The record is from Rfam by way of RNAcentral.